RNAcentral lists this ribosomal RNA (735 nucleotides) under Halomonas sp. RP24. RNAcentral describes it as "bacterial SSU rRNA". It matches the Rfam family "Bacterial small subunit ribosomal RNA", at positions 392 to 1119 of the family's 1533-position model. Lineage: Bacteria; Pseudomonadati; Pseudomonadota; Gammaproteobacteria; Oceanospirillales; Halomonadaceae. The record is from RNAcentral.
CCAUGCCGCGUGUGUGAAGAAGGCCUUCGGGUUGUAAAGCACUUUCAGCGAGGAAGAACGCCUGGUGGUUAAUACCCGCCAGGAAAGACAUCACUCGCAGAAGAAGCACCGGCUAACUCCGUGCCAGCAGCCGCGGUAAUACGGAGGGUGCAAGCGUUAAUCGGAAUUACUGGGCGUAAAGCGCGCGUAGGUGGCUUGAUAAGCCGGUUGUGAAAGCCCCGGGCUCAACCUGGGAACGGCAUCCGGAACUGUCAGGCUAGAGUGCAGGAGAGGAAGGUAGAAUUCCCGGUGUAGCGGUGAAAUGCGUAGAGAUCGGGAGGAAUACCAGUGGCGAAGGCGGCCUUCUGGACUGACACUGACACUGAGGUGCGAAAGCGUGGGUAGCAAACAGGAUUAGAUACCCUGGUAGUCCACGCCGUAAACGAUGUCGACCAGCCGUUGGGUGCCUAGAGCACUUUGUGGCGAAGUUAACGCGAUAAGUCGACCGCCUGGGGAGUACGGCCGCAAGGUUAAAACUCAAAUGAAUUGACGGGGGCCCGCACAAGCGGUGGAGCAUGUGGUUUAAUUCGAUGCAACGCGAAGAACCUUACCUACCCUUGACAUCUACAGAAGCCGGAAGAGAUUCUGGUGUGCCUUCGGGAACUGUAAGACAGGUGCUGCAUGGCUGUCGUCAGCUCGUGUUGUGAAAUGUUGGGUUAAGUCCCGUAACGAGCGCAACCCUUGUCCUUAUUUGCC